CCCUUAGAUGUUCUGGGCUGCACGCGCGCUACACUGAAGCGUUCAACGAGUAUUCACCUUGCCCGGGAGGGUUGGGUAAUCUUUUGAAAACGCUUCGUGAUGGGGAUAGAUUAUUGCAAUUAUUAAUCUUCAACGAGGAAUUCCUAGUAAGCGCGAGUCAUCAGCUCGUGCUGAUUACGUCCCUGCCCUUUGUACACACCGCCCGUCGCUCUUACCGAUUGAGUGAUCCGGUGAAUAAUUCGGACUGCAGCACUGCUUGGUCUCCAGGCUUUGCAGCGGAAAGUUUAGUGAACCUUAUCACUUAGAGGAAGGAAAAGUCGUAACA
RNAcentral lists this ribosomal RNA (325 nucleotides) under uncultured eukaryote. RNAcentral describes it as "partial 18S ribosomal RNA". It matches the Rfam family "Eukaryotic small subunit ribosomal RNA", at positions 1470 to 1796 of the family's 1831-position model. The record is from RNAcentral.